This 253-nucleotide ribosomal RNA is filed under the name uncultured bacterium. RNAcentral describes it as "partial 16S ribosomal RNA". It matches the Rfam family "Bacterial small subunit ribosomal RNA", at positions 524 to 776 of the family's 1533-position model. The record is from RNAcentral.
UACGAAGGGGGCUAGCGUUGCUCGGAAUCACUGGGCGUAAAGGGUGCGUAGGCGGGUCUUUAAGUCAGGGGUGAAAUCCUGGAGCUCAACUCCAGAACUGCCUUUGAUACUGAGGAUCUUGAGUCCGGGAGAGGUGAGUGGAACUGCGAGUGUAGAGGUGAAAUUCGUAGAUAUUCGCAAGAACACCAGUGGCGAAGGCGGCUUACUGGUCCGGUACUGACGCUGAGGCGCGAAAGCGUGGGGAGCAAACAGG